CAUAACUGGAAACUCAUUAAAUGAUAUUUUGGCCAAAAAUGGGAAAUUUUACACGACUGAAAAAAUUAAUUAACGAGGAGCUUUCUAGAAGAGGCCCACUGAAGCUUAUAAAACAUCUUCAGAAGAUUAAACUGCUUAAAAGAAAAAUGAAAUGCAAAGUAUGCCACGAGGAAACAAAACUGAAGAAAAGGGUGAACAACGGAGACCAAUAUGCCUGGUAAGAAAUGCAUUUUUUAUUUUUGUAGGACGCCAUAAUAACCGGGGUACUUACUGUAAACGUCAUUGUUAUUAUUUGGUUUUAUACCUAAAUCCUCAUUGAAACAGAGCAAACAGGGACAUCUCUUGAAAGGGAUGUUCCACCCCUAAAUACAAAAUGCUUUUUUCUUACUUAAGUAACUCACUGCGUAUAAUGAUACAUACAUUUUUUCAUGUUACAAUUUUUAAAUAGGAUCUGUCGAGGAGCAGCACAUGGUGGACGCGUUAAACAAAUCUCUGUCAGACACAAGUCCCUUUUCAGCCGUUCGAAAGUCUCACUUCAACACUGGAUGCAAUCUAUCUACAGAUUCUCUCAGGAUCUCAGAUUACGUCAAAUUGACAUGAUGGAUGACACCAUUGCAGGCAGUACGACAACACUUAGUAAAAUGUCCAAAAAAUUAAGGAGGGUAUGUGUGGCUGCAGUUCAAAGAAUGAGAUGUCGUACAGGUCAGUAGAUUGGUGGCCGAAGGGAGUUUGUUGUGAUCGAUGAGAGUCAUUUUCAUCGCAAAUGAAAGGUAAGUUUUGUAAUAGAAAUUAUAUAUUACAUCUAUAUGACAACCUUUCACAGCACUUUUUUGCCAUUUGUCUUAAUUGUUUUCUUUCUGCAUCAGUAUGGGAGAGGAAGAAUGGCAGGGGGCUGGAAAAGAAGAAAGUGGGUGUUCGGAAUGCUGGGCAUAAAAAAAUCAGCGUAGAACAAGGCCUAUCUUGCGUCUUGUGGAGAAAAGAUCUCAAAGACAUCUUGUUCCUCUGAUCACUCUUCAUGUCAGGAUUGGUUCCUUGGUGAUAAGUGAUGAAUGGCGGGCCUAUCGCAUUCUCCCAAACGUAGGUUGUGGACAUUAUACUGUUAACCACAGCAGAUGGUAUGUGGACCCUCUAACAGGUGCCUAUACCCAACAUCUGCAGAGAGCCUGGAGGUCUUACAAGGAGAGAAUUUGGAGACUCCGGGGUAACAGAAAUGACAGCCUACUAUCAGAACACCUUACAGUUAUUGAGUGGAACGAAUGGCUUGCAAAAAAGCACAAACAGGGUGCUUUAGGGAGACUGAUAUAUGACAUUUAAAAAAAAAUACAGAUAAAAAAGUUACUGUUGCAACUGCAGGUUUUUUUUCACCUUUUGAAAAUAUUUGAGCAUUUCAUGUAAAAACAUACAAUUCAUAAAAGUGCAUCGAGCCUUGUUCUUUACUUCAAAUACUGGCUAAUAGUGGUUCAGCACAAUGUUUGUUUUGACAGUUGUGUGUCAAUAUUUGUAAGCAUUGUUUUGAUGUUUUAUAAUUGGCAUCUUAAAAAUAAAGUGCUUUCUGUA
Molecule: non-coding RNA, 1557 nt
Organism: Nothobranchius furzeri (turquoise killifish)
Lineage: Eukaryota; Metazoa; Chordata; Actinopteri; Cyprinodontiformes; Nothobranchiidae
Source: RefSeq, a predicted model, not a curated record